RNA transcript from Morus notabilis, 1198 nucleotides. It is a transcript of the gene named E3 ubiquitin-protein ligase RNF4, with no coding region annotated. The transcript has 7 exons. The record is from RefSeq and is a predicted model, not a curated record. Lineage: Eukaryota; Viridiplantae; Streptophyta; Magnoliopsida; Rosales; Moraceae.
UAAAAACUUCCGUUUCUCUUUGGAAAAUAACCAUUUUUUUUUUAAUUUUCCUUUUCUCUCUCCACUGCGAUUUUUAUUUAAGAAAAAUUUUGGAGAAACUGCGUCAAAUUUCGUUCCUCAAGGGCUUGCUGUAAAGUUUUUUUUCAGGCGUUAGCUCGGUUAGGAAAUAGAUAAUAUUAGUAAUGAGCACUCAGAACAGUAGGAGUGGUGUAAGAAGCUACCGCCGAAGGAAGGUUGCAUUGAACUUAGACCUUAAUAGUGUACCACCCGGUGAUAAUCGGAAUCAAGAAGGAACUUCAAUUCAAGUGGGAACCCAGAACACGCAAUCUAGGCAACAAGGGAACUCUGUUCCUCCUCCUAUGAUUGAUGUCGAGGCCAUCGAUGAUGAUGUCAUUGAAUCUUCGCCGAGGGCUUUUGCUGCGGCUAAAAACAAUAGAAGAGCCCGUGGAAGGACUAUUGUUGAUGUAGAGUCAGAAGAACGUAAUGGGGUUGGUCGCGGUAAUCACAAGUGCAGAAGAGCUUCACCAAAUCAAGUCGUUAUCAAUUGUGAUUUGUACGUAAACUUGGAAAGUAGUGGCAGCUCCAUGGCAGAGAAUGCCAAGAAGCCGCCACCACCACCAAAAGAGCCUACAUUUACCUGUCCAAUUUGUAUGGGCCCACUGGCCGAGGAAACAUCAACAAAAUGUGGUCAUAUUUUCUGCAAGGCAUGCAUUAAGGCCGCGGUUAAUGCUCAGGGUAAAUGCCCUACCUGCAGGAAAAGAGUUACUGCAAAAGAACUAAUUAGGGUAUUUCUUCCGGCAACCAGUUGUUAGCUCAUCUCUGGGAUAACUCGUGGUGUGUCUUUAUAGUCACUCGAAUGCCAUGCACAAAUUCGUGAAGAAAUGAUCAUUGAAAAAUAUAUUAGUUUUUAUUACAGUUGUAUUAACCUUCAAGCAACUGUAUUAAAAAUAUGCGAGAGAUCAUUGAGGAUGUUACUAUGUUACUGUGUUUUUGUUCGCCAUAAAAAAGUUCUUGGGAUUGAGUUUUUCGCAUUUGAGAGGACGAAAGAAUUGGUUUUUCCUGUCAUCAGAAUUGAGUUGUUUCCAUAUUUGUCCAUCUGAAUAUUGUGCAGGAAACUAAUCUAAUGACAAUAGUAGUUUUCCAUAUUGAACAAUACUUAGUGCAUUUUAAAGUAAAAUUCCUAAAUGAAAUAUGCCAA